CCUACGGGUGGCUGCAGUGGGGAAUAUUGGACAAUGGGGGGAACCCUGAUCCAGCCAUGCCGCGUGUGUGAAGAAGGCCCUCGGGUUGUAAAGCACUUUCAGUGAGGAAGAACGCCUGGUGGUUAAUACCCAUCAGGAAAGACAUCACUCACAGAAGAAGCACCGGCUAACUCCGUGCCAGCAGCCGCGGUAAUACGGAGGGUGCGAGCGUUAAUCGGAAUUACUGGGCGUAAAGCGCGCGUAGGUGGCUUGAUAAGCCGGUUGUGAAAGCCCCGGGCUCAACCUGGGAACGGCAUCCGGGCGUGUCUAGCAAGGGGGCAGGGGGGGAGGGUAGACAUCCCGGGGGAGCCGCCAAAGGAGUAGAGAUCGGGAGGAAGGGCAGGGGCGAAGGCGGACAACUGGAGGGACCAUGACACUGAAGUGACAUCGCGUGAGUAGCAAGCCGGGCGAGGGACACCGGUGCGC
This 465-nucleotide ribosomal RNA is filed under the name Vreelandella stevensii. RNAcentral describes it as "partial 16S ribosomal RNA". It matches the Rfam family "Bacterial small subunit ribosomal RNA", at positions 338 to 794 of the family's 1533-position model. Lineage: Bacteria; Pseudomonadati; Pseudomonadota; Gammaproteobacteria; Oceanospirillales; Halomonadaceae. The record is from RNAcentral.